GCAACUGAAACCAGGCAAUCUUCCUCAACUGCAGAUUCUGAUUUAUGAGGUCUGGGGUGAGCCCAAGAAUCUGCAUUUCUAGCAAGCUCCCAAGCAACACAGAU
Molecule: microRNA precursor, 104 nt
Filed under: Marmota monax (woodchuck)
Lineage: Eukaryota; Metazoa; Chordata; Mammalia; Rodentia; Sciuridae
Source: RNAcentral